Molecule: ribosomal RNA, 581 nt
Filed under: uncultured Glomeromycotina
Lineage: Eukaryota; Fungi; Glomeromycota
Description: LSU rRNA
Rfam family: Eukaryotic large subunit ribosomal RNA
Source: RNAcentral
CAUGGAGGGUGAGAAUCCCGUUCGGUUGAUCAGGUGCGUUUUACGAUACGCUUUCAAAGAGUCAAGUUGUUUGGGAUUGCAGCUUAAAAUGGGAGGUAAAUUUCUCCUAAGGCUAAAUAAUGGCGAGAGACCGAUAGCGAACAAGUACCGUGAGGGAAAGAUGAAAAGCAUUUUGAAAAGAAAGUCAAAUAGCACGUGAAAUUGUUGAAAGGGAAACGAUUAAAGUCAGUCGUACCGAUGGACAUUCAACCUCUUGAGUGCGAUUAUGUCGGGUGUUGAGGAGCUUAACCGCCUUCGCGCUUGCGUAUUUGUGCUCUACGGGUGUACUUGUUCGUAUGGUAGGUUAACAUCAAUUUCGGUCGUCAUAAAAUGGCGGGAGGAAUGUGGCUUCGAUCUCGUAUUGAAGUGUUAUAGCCUCUGGUAGAUGUGGUGACCGGGAUUGAGGAUUGCAACGAACCCUUCGGGGCCACCUGUCUGGCCUCUGGUGGUCGCUUUGGUGCUGAAAGCGUGCUUACGGUUAUCAGAGUUGGUUGCCAAAAGGUUAGAACGGGUUAAUUUCGUUAAGGAUGUUGACGUAAUGG